Molecule: ribosomal RNA, 639 nt
Filed under: uncultured Actinomycetes bacterium
Lineage: Bacteria; Bacillati; Actinomycetota; Actinomycetes
Description: bacterial SSU rRNA
Rfam family: Bacterial small subunit ribosomal RNA
Source: RNAcentral
CGCGGCCUAUCAGCUUGUUGGUGAGGUAACGGCUCACCAAGGCAUCGACGGGUAGCUGGUCUGAGAGGACGAUCAGCCACACUGGGACUGAGACACGGCCCAGACUCCCACGGGAGGCAGCAGUAGGGAAUCUUGCGCAAUGGGCGAAAGCCUGACGCAGCAACGCCGCGUGGGGGAUGAAUGCCUUCGGGUUGUAAACCCCUUUCAGCAGGGACGAAAAUGACGGUACCUGCGGAAGAAGCUCCGGCCAACUACGUGCCAGCAGCCGCGGUAAUACGUAGGGAGCGAGCGUUGUCCGGAAUUAUUGGGCGUAAAGAGCUCGUAGGCGGUUCAGUAAGUCGGGUGUGAAAACUCAAGGCUCAACCUUGAGACGCCACUCGAUACUGCUGUGACUUGAGUCCGGUAGAGGAGUGUGGAAUUCCUGGUGUAGCGGUGAAAUGCGCAGAUAUCAGGAGGAACACCAGCGGCGAAGGCGGCACUCUGGGCCGGUACUGACGCUGAGGAGCGAAAGCAUGGGGAGCAAACAGGAUUAGAUACCCUGGUAGUCCAUGCCGUAAACGUUGGGCACUAGGUAUGGGAUCAUAUCAACGGAUUCCGUGCCGUAGCUAACGCAUUAAGUGCCCCGCCUGGGGAGUACGG